Long non-coding RNA from Herpailurus yagouaroundi (jaguarundi), 399 nucleotides. RefSeq lists it as uncharacterized. The record is from RefSeq and is a predicted model, not a curated record. Lineage: Eukaryota; Metazoa; Chordata; Mammalia; Carnivora; Felidae. The transcript is spliced from 2 exons.
AGCGGACUACAAAUCCCAGCAGGCCGCGCGGCCACGGCUCACAGACCCAGCUCAGGAUUGGAGCAUAAGGCGGCAUUCUGAAACCGGGAGACUAGCCUCUGAGCUGCCCUUGCAGCCUACUGGGACUUGUAGUUUUCUGGAAUCGAUGAAUCGGUACCGGAAGGAUUGGGGCGGGAGGUGCAGUUUUGCUCAGAAAUAUUCCCUGUUUCCAUCUGAUGGAACCAGAUCUCUAAGGACCGAGUCGCUGAAAGUCACAGACCGUCAUGAAAUUCUGAUAAUUAACUCAUUAUGAAAAUUUGUGUAAAUCCUUUACCAUUUUUUAUUAGAGUUGAAUACAAAACAGUGGUAUCAGACGCUAAAAAUUUAGUAAUAAACCUGAGAGUAAAUUUCAAUAUUGUG